AUGCCGACGCCGGCGCACCUGAGCAAGGACCCGCGCUACUUCGACUUCCGGGCGGCGCGGCGGGUGCCGGAGACGCACGCGUGGCCCGGGCUGCACGACCACCCCGUGGUGGACGGCAGCGGCGCGGGCGGAGGGCCGGACGCGGUGCCGGUGGUGGACAUGCGCGACCCGUGCGCGGCGGAGGCGGUGGCGCUGGCGGCGCAGGACUGGGGCGCCUUCCUCCUGGAGGGCCACGGCGUCCCGUUGGAGCUGCUGGCGCGCGUGGAGGCCGCGAUCGCGGGCAUGUUCGCGCUGCCGGCGUCGGAGAAGAUGCGCGCCGUGCGGCGGCCCGGCGACUCGUGCGGCUACGGGUCGCCGCCCAUCUCCUCCUUCUUCUCCAAGUGCAUGUGGUCCGAGGGCUACACCUUCUCCCCGGCCAACCUCCGCUCCGACCUCCGCAAGCUCUGGCCCAAGGCCGGCCACGACUACCGCCACUUCUGCGCCGUGAUGGAGGAGUUCCACAGGGAGAUGCGCGCGCUGGCCGACAAGCUGCUGGAGCUGUUCCUGGUGGCCCUCGGGCUCACCGGCGAGCAGGUCGCCGCCGUCGAGUCCGAGCAGAAGAUCGCCGAGACCAUGACCGCCACAAUGCACCUCAACUGGUACCCCAAGUGCCCGGACCCGAAGCGGGCGCUGGGCCUGAUCGCGCACACGGACUCGGGCUUCUUCACCUUCGUGCUGCAGAGCCUUGUGCCCGGGCUGCAGCUGUUCCGGCACGGCCCCGACCGGUGGGUGACGGUGCCCGCCGUGCCGGGGGCCAUGGUCGUCAACGUCGGCGACCUCUUCCAGAUCCUCACCAACGGCCGCUUCCACAGCGUCUACCACCGCGCCGUCGUCAACCGCGACAGCGACCGGAUAUCGCUCGGCUACUUCCUCGGCCCGCCCGCCCACGUCAAGGUGGCGCCGCUCAGGGAGGCCCUGGCCGGCACGCCCGCCGCCUACCGCGCCGUCACGUGGCCCGAGUACAUGGGCGUGCGCAAGAAGGCCUUCACCACCGGCGCCUCCGCGCUCAAGAUGGUCGCCAUCUCCACUGACAACGACGCCGCCAACCACACGGACGACCUGAUCUCGUCGUAG
Molecule: ribosomal RNA, 1113 nt
Filed under: Triticum aestivum (bread wheat)
Lineage: Eukaryota; Viridiplantae; Streptophyta; Magnoliopsida; Poales; Poaceae
Description: partial small subunit ribosomal RNA
Source: RNAcentral